This 86-nucleotide microRNA precursor is filed under the name Nomascus leucogenys (northern white-cheeked gibbon). RNAcentral's name for it is "miRNA (ENSNLEG00000033778.1)". Lineage: Eukaryota; Metazoa; Chordata; Mammalia; Primates; Hylobatidae. The record is from RNAcentral.
CUAUUAUGCUGGUGCAGAAGUUAUUGUGGUUUUUGCAAUUACUUUUAAUGGCAAAAAUCUCAAUUACUUUUGCACCAACCUAAUAC